This 635-nucleotide long non-coding RNA is filed under the name Cotesia glomerata. RNAcentral describes it as "uncharacterized LOC123258717, transcript variant X2". The record is from RNAcentral. Lineage: Eukaryota; Metazoa; Arthropoda; Insecta; Hymenoptera; Braconidae.
UCCGUUGGAAACUCGAUUUUCGAAAAACAAGUAUGGAACAGUCACAAAUGCGGCCUGCCGCUAUGAUAAAUAGAGUAUCAAGGAAGAGGAAAGCAGAAUUACCACCAACACCAGAGUAUUUUUUUGAAUUAAAAGAUACCAUCAUAAGAUAUAAAAAAAACUUCAUGUCUUUUUCGUGGAUGUAUUGAAGCAGAAGAUGGAUCUACGGCAGUAAUACUUUGCAAUGAAGAGCUUUUCGGGCAAAUCGGUGAAGUCGAAGAAAUCCACGUCCAACAAACUUAUGAGUGUGUUCCUGAUAAGCCACUCAUGGAGCAGACAUUAAUUCUGCAUUUAAGGCGAAAUAAUAUUGGUUUACCAAGUAUCUUCGUCUUAUGUGAUUCAACAAUUGAAUCACUGUAUACGGAAAUUUUCAAAGUAAUUAGUUUCCGUAUUCCAGCCAUGAAGAACAAUUUAAAAAAUAUCAUAUGUGAUUACGAUCCCGCAUUAUAUUCUGCAAUUGAAGAAUCUUUUAGUGACGUGACACUCAAAGGAUGCUGGUUUAACUACAUUAGGGUAUGCAUCAUUAAUUUGGAGUUUAGAAAAAAAAAUUACGAAAAUAGACAUGUUAAUAUUGAUAUAAACAUCUGAAUUUUUAA